AGCGAACGCUGGCGGCAGGCCUAACACAUGCAAGUCGAACGAACUCUUCGGAGUUAGUGGCGGACGGGUGAGUAACACGUGGGAACGUGCCUUUAGGUUCGGAAUAACUCAGGGAAACUUGUGCUAAUACCGAAUGUGCCCUUCGGGGGAAAGAUUUAUCGCCUUUAGAGCGGCCCGCGUCUGAUUAGCUAGUUGGCGAGGUAAAGGCUCACCAAGGCGACGAUCAGUAGCUGGUCUGAGAGGAUGAUCAGCCACAUGGGGACUGAGACACGGCCCAAACUCCUACGGGAGGCAGCAGUGGGGAAUCUUGCGCAAUGGGCGAAAGCCUGACGCAGCCAUGCCGCGUGAGUGAUGAAGGUCUUAGGAUUGUAAAAUUCUUUCACCGGGGACGAUAAUGACGGUACCCGGAGAAGAAGCCCCGGCUAACUUCGUUCCAGCCGCCGCGGUAA
RNAcentral lists this ribosomal RNA (449 nucleotides) under uncultured bacterium. Its description in RNAcentral is "partial 16S ribosomal RNA". It matches the Rfam family "Bacterial small subunit ribosomal RNA", at positions 29 to 523 of the family's 1533-position model. The record is from RNAcentral.